CACGCUCCCACCGGUGAGUGCAUGUAGUCAUCUGGGCACCUACCGUGUGCUCCUUGGAUCCCAGGAUGAGCAGUGAAGAAAGGAUGGCGGGGGAUGAAAGAGAUCCCCUCCCACCCUCAUCCCACUCUCAAGGCUCUAGCUGGAAGGCAGAGGCAACACUGCAGAUGAAGUUCUGAAAGUGAGAUGGUGGGCAGGUAAAGGAGCUGCCAGCCCCAUGGUGCCAUGGCUGUGGGGUUUUAAGCAGCACCCACCGAGUCAGCCAGAAACCUCUGAUUCCACCUAGAAAAAUAAGGGAAGAGUUACACCAGGAAGCAAGAUAAUGAAACUCAUCUUGAAGCUUAAACGUGGACGGAGUGGUUCCUCAGUGCCAGACAGCUCCCCGCAAGCACAUAGGAGUUUAAUAGCUGUUUAUUCUUCCAUAUAGACUAAAACUACAUUCAUCAGAAAAAGGGGAGUAAUUCAUUUCCUAUCCCAAUUAUGGAUAUAGCAGACUGAAGAAUAUUUUCAAAGAAAUACAGUUUAUUAUGAUCACAAACUUGACCUAGAGUAAACUAAGAUGUAAAUGGAUAUUUACACUGGAUAGUAAUUGUUUUCAAGUUAUAAAAAUACUUAAGUUUACAAUGGACAUUUACUACA
RNAcentral lists this long non-coding RNA (636 nucleotides) under Homo sapiens (human). RNAcentral describes it as "non-protein coding lnc-SOX9-4:1". The record is from RNAcentral. Lineage: Eukaryota; Metazoa; Chordata; Mammalia; Primates; Hominidae.